Molecule: ribosomal RNA, 253 nt
Filed under: uncultured bacterium
Lineage: Bacteria
Description: partial 16S ribosomal RNA
Rfam family: Bacterial small subunit ribosomal RNA
Source: RNAcentral
UACAGAGGGGGCAAGCGUUGUUCGGAUUUACUGGGCGUAAAGGGCGCGUAGGCGGCGCGACAAGUCACUUGUGAAAUCUCCGGGCUUAACUCGGAACGGUCAGCCGAUACUGCGGGGCUAGAGUGCAGAAGGGGCAACUGGAAUUCUCGGUGUAGCGGUGAAAUGCGUAGAUAUCGAGAGGAACACCUGCGGCGAAGGCGGGUUGCUGGGCUGACACUGACGCUGAGGCACGAAAGCGUGGGGAGCGAACAGG